This 434-nucleotide ribosomal RNA is filed under the name uncultured Lachnospiraceae bacterium. RNAcentral describes it as "partial 16S ribosomal RNA". It matches the Rfam family "Bacterial small subunit ribosomal RNA", at positions 341 to 792 of the family's 1533-position model. The record is from RNAcentral. Lineage: Bacteria; Bacillati; Bacillota; Clostridia; Lachnospirales; Lachnospiraceae.
ACGGAAGGCAGCAGUGGGGAAUAUUGGACAAUGGGGGAAACCCUGAUCCAGCGACGCCGCGUGAGUGAAGAAGUAUUUCGGUAUGUAAAGCUCUAUCAGCAGGGACGAUAAUGACGGUACCUGACUAAGAAGCCCCGGCUAACUACGUGCCAGCAGCCGCGGUAAUACGUAGGGGGCAAGCGUUAUCCGGAUUUACUGGGUGUAAAGGGAGCGUAGGUGGCCAUGCAAGUCAGAUGUGAAAACCCGGGGCUCAACCCCGUGACUGCAUUUGAAACUGCGUGGCUGGAGUACAGGAGAGGUAAGCGGAAUUCCUAGUGGAGCGGUGAAAUGCGUAGAUAUUAGGAGGAACACCAGUGGCGAAAGCGGCUUACUGGACUGAAACUGACACUGAGGCUCGAAAGCGUGGGGAGCAAACAGGAUUAGAUACCCUGGUA